GACGAACGCUGGCGGCGUGCUUAACACAUGCAAGUCGAACGAAGUGGCGAACGGGUGAGUAACGCGUAAUCAACCUGCCCUUCAGAGGGGGAAAACAGUUGGAAACGACUGCUAAUACCGCAAACUGAAGGGGGGGAUUGCGUCGGAUUUGCUAGUUGGAGGGGUAAAGGCCCACCAGGGCGAUGAUCAGUAGGCUGGCUGCGGGGAUGAACGGCAAAAAUGGGACUGAGACACGGCCCAGAAUCCUACGGGAGGCAGCAGUGGGGAAUCUUCCGAAAUGGAGGGAAGUCUGACGGAGCAACGGCGCGGGAGUGAAGACGGCCUUCGGGUUGUAAAGCUCUUUUAAUCGGGACGCGGUACCGGAAGAGAAAGCCACGGCUAACUACGUGCCAGCAGCCGCGGUAAUAC
Molecule: ribosomal RNA, 408 nt
Filed under: uncultured bacterium
Lineage: Bacteria
Description: partial 16S ribosomal RNA
Rfam family: Bacterial small subunit ribosomal RNA
Source: RNAcentral